AAAUCAACACUUUUGUGAGUGUUUUUCUAUUCUCCUUUCAAAGUUAUAGGUGGCAAAGGAGGUAUGCAUGUGUAAGGUGUUCUCACUUACAAGAGCAUUUGUAGUGGUAAGGAAAGAUUAGCUUCCUGUUUGAAUGAUAUCCAGAUGUGAUAAAAUACCAGAUUAGCCCUGUGAUGCCGUAGAAAUUCCUCUGCUCACUCAGUGUGCUCCAUUCGGAUUGCUCUCUCUCUGCCUUUUGAUCUGCUGAUUUUUUAAUCAGGAAUUUUUAUAAAUUCUUAGGGACAUAGCUAUCAUAAUAACAUAUUAAAGCACAGCGAAUUGGACUGUCGUCCCCUCUAGUAGCUUCCUGAAAUCAUCCAUGGUAGGAAAAUUCUCUGCUGAGGAGAGGAACUUAAGACAUUAUUAGAGAUGGUUUCAUUUAAGAUGAUUGGCUAAAUACAUGUUUAUUUCUUCUCUCCCAUUAAAAUCUAUUGAAAUGUUAGAAGAG
RNAcentral lists this long non-coding RNA (487 nucleotides) under Bos taurus (domestic cattle). RNAcentral's name for it is "long non-coding RNA NONBTAT015605". The record is from RNAcentral. Lineage: Eukaryota; Metazoa; Chordata; Mammalia; Artiodactyla; Bovidae.